AUUGAACGCUGGCGGCAGGCCUAACACAUGCAAGUCGAGCGGAGCGGCGGACGGGUGAGUAAUGCCAAGGAAUCUGCCUGGUCGUGGGGGAUAACGUCCGGAAACGGGCCCUAAUACCGCAUACUCUCCGAUCAGCCUAGGUCGGAUUAGCUAGUUGGUGGGGUAAAGGCCUACCAAGGCGACGAUCCGUAACUGGUCUGAGAGGAUGAUCAGUCACACUGGAACUGAGACACGGUCCAGACUCCUACGGGAGGCAGCAGUGGGGAAUAUUGCACAAUGGGCGAAAGCCUGAUGCAGCCAUGCCGCGUGUGUGAAGAAGGUCUUCGGAUUGUAAAGCACUUUAAGUUGGGAGGCGUUACCAACAGAAUAAGCACCGGCUAACUCCGUGCCAGCAGCCGCGGUAAUAC
Molecule: ribosomal RNA, 407 nt
Filed under: uncultured bacterium
Lineage: Bacteria
Description: partial 16S ribosomal RNA
Rfam family: Bacterial small subunit ribosomal RNA
Source: RNAcentral